RNAcentral lists this ribosomal RNA (253 nucleotides) under uncultured bacterium. Its description in RNAcentral is "partial 16S ribosomal RNA". It matches the Rfam family "Bacterial small subunit ribosomal RNA", at positions 524 to 776 of the family's 1533-position model. The record is from RNAcentral.
UACGAAGGGGGCUAGCGUUGUUCGGAAUCACUGGGCGUAAAGCGCACGCAGGCGGAUCGAUAAGUCGGGGGUGAAAGCCCGGGGCUCAACCUCGGAAUUGCCUUCGAUACUGUCGGUCUCGAGUCCGGGAGAGGUGAGUGGAAUUCCUAGUGUAGAGGUGAAAUUCGUAGAUAUUAGGAAGAACACCAGUGGCGAAGGCGGCUCACUGGCCCGGUAAUGACCAUCAGGUGCGAAAGCGUGGGGAGCAAACAGG